GAGCACACAAACUUCAUCCCAUCACUGCCUUACAAAUGGAGUAUUCAAUCUGGACUAGUGAAAUCGAAGAUGAAAUACUCCCACUUUGCUGAGAACUUGGAAUUGGGAUAGUGGCAUAUAGUCCUCUGGGUAGAGGCUUUUGCAGAGGCAGGGUGGUUGCGGAAACCAUGCCCAAUGGCAGCCAAUUGGCAAACUAUCGAAGGUUCAAUGGAGAGAAUCUAGAGAAGAACAAACUAUUAUAUCCCCGAGUUUCG
This is a long non-coding RNA of Hibiscus syriacus, 254 nucleotides long. RefSeq lists it as uncharacterized. NCBI's taxonomy places the organism in Eukaryota, Viridiplantae, Streptophyta, Magnoliopsida, Malvales, Malvaceae. The record is from RefSeq and is a predicted model, not a curated record. The transcript is spliced from 3 exons.